This 244-nucleotide long non-coding RNA is filed under the name Mytilus galloprovincialis (Mediterranean mussel). Lineage: Eukaryota; Metazoa; Mollusca; Bivalvia; Mytilida; Mytilidae. The record is from RNAcentral.
GCUCGUUUAAUUUUCAUAAAAUUUUGUCAAAGUAUUUACUUUGAGACUUCAAUAAAAAUAUAAAAAUUUAAAAAAUUUUGAACCAACCGUUUUGUCAGAAAAAUUACACUGGUUACAUAGCAAUUUGACAAACACCAAUUUUGAUCAUUGACAAGCUUAUUAUUCCUUUUACAACACAACGUAAUUAAAACGUUUAGCUGAUUUUACAGAGUUACCUCCCUGUAGUGUUAGGUACCACCUUAAA